CUUUUUACAAUUUUUACUCUACCUCUCUCUCUAAGAAAGGAUGGAUAUUGGUUAGAAACUCCACAAGAUUUCGGUAAAAUGCCAUAAUCACCAUCAUCCUCGAUCAUCGUCAACCAUUCACCGGUGAAUGUCCAAUCACUGAUUGCUCUAAAACGUAUCGUGAGACUCCUCUUAGUUUCGUUUUCUCAAAUUUUGGUACAAUUUUUUUCAAAAAACUUGCUUGCUUUGCAUGAAUUUGCCCAAAAAGGUGGCGGAUCUGAACUUAGUUUCCUUGUUGCCCCGGUCACCACCACCUCUAAACUAUAUUCUUUCCCUUGUUUUUGGCUCUUUCCUCACCCGAUUUGAAAACCAAAAAUUGUCUGGAUAAAACGUAAACGAAACCCCAAAAAUUUGGUUCUUUGUCUCUGACCUUGCUUUGUUGUUUUCUUUGUCUUGUUAGUAUUCCUUGUCGGCGGUGAAUGACCUUUUGGCG
This 472-nucleotide long non-coding RNA is filed under the name Durio zibethinus. Its description in RNAcentral is "long non-coding RNA (DZIB_LNC000947)". Lineage: Eukaryota; Viridiplantae; Streptophyta; Magnoliopsida; Malvales; Malvaceae. The record is from RNAcentral.